GGGUUUGGCGGGGCCGGACUUGGCAUCCAGCCUGGGGGUGCAGUUUUACCCCCGGCCCAGGGCCGGGUCCCGCCCGGGCCGGCGCUCACAGGGCUCGGAAGGCGCCGAGGGCGUUCUCCUCCCACUCCGAGCCCGACUCCGAGUAGCCGCUGGUGUCCUCAGCCUCCGAGACGGGCGAGUACUGCCCGCAGAACGGGCGGCCCGGCGGGCAGGGGCCCGCGGCCGGCGGUGGCCCGGCGAAGGAGGCAGCUUCGGCCCCGGCGGGCUGGCUGGGCGGGAAGCCCUCGAAGCCGGGGCCGGGGGGGAAGGCGGCGGCCGGCGGCCACUCGUAGGGGGCCGAGCCCUCCUCCUUGAUCUGGACGAUCUGGGCUAGGCCGGAGAGGCGGUAGCGGGGCCGCUCCGGGGCGCGCAGGGCGGCGAAGCGCGGCGGCCGCGGGUAGCUCGGUGGUGGCGGCGGCUCGGCGGGCGGCGGCGCGGCGGGGCCGGGCCGGGGCGCUCCCCGCUGGCGGCGGGACUUGGCGCGGCGGUUCUGGAACCAGACCUGAGGAGAGAGGGCGGCGGUGAGGGUGGCCCCGGGCGCUGCGGCGCGGCGCGGCCGCCGCCCCUCACCUGGAUGCGGGACUCCGGGAUCUGCGUGGCGUCGGCCAGCUUCUCCCGCAGGUAGAUGUCGGGGUACAUGGUGUCCUGGAAGACCAGCUCCAGCGUCUCCAGCUGCGCCGCCGUGAAACUGGUCCGCUUCCGACGCUGCGAGGCGGCCGGCGCCCCCUCUGACGGCUCCGCCGCCGGCCGGCCCCGCUCCCCCGGGGGAAGCGCCCUGAGGGCGGGCGAGGCCGCGCCGGGCCCGCCGACCCCCGCCCACCUGCCGGCGGGGAAGGCGGGCGGCUCCGCUGGCGGUUCCCCGAAGCGCAGCGCGGCCAUGGCAGCGGGCGAGGAGGGGGUGCGGGCCCUCCGGCCGCCCUUUAUAGCCGGGGAGGGGGUCGGCGGGGGCGGGGGGUCGGAGGGAGGCGGCACGGCCCCAGGGGAAGGUGGGCGCGGAGCUGCGGGCACCCCGCCGCGCCCCGCACCCCGGGCCCGCCGGUGGGGUGCCCGCUUGGGGCGUCCCCUGCCUUACUCGGCCCGGAGCCCCGCAGCCCCACGGGGUGGGUGACGGCUGGCGACCCCCUGCACGGACCACGGGCAGCGAAGGGGAGAGCGGAGCAGGCUUUUCUUCCCCGCCUCCUGGAAGUUUCUUCGUGCUGCUGGACACACGCCAAAGAGCAAAUACGUUUAUUACUCCAAAUGAGACAACAGCAAUCCCAGAACGAGAGUGACUCCAGGCGGCAGUGAUUGCAGCAGCUCUCUACUGCCAUCCUAGCCAUCCUGCGUAUCUCAUUGUGAGACCACGUUUUUCCUCUUUUGCUGUCGUAUCUUCAUAUCUGGGAGGCUGUCUUAAUGCCUUUGAGAUGAGGCAGCAGGAGUCCUGGCAUGUAUGGAGCAGUCCAAGAGAAACAGGGAACCUGCUGACAGUGAAAAUCCUGACAGACUGAAGACUGAUCCUCCCUGCCCGAAGCACUUGAUUUUUGCACCUCUUCAGACGAAUGGUGAUCUUUCCACUGGCUGCAUGGAGGAGGCUCCUGCUUGAGGCACCAGGAUAAUUUCUAGCUGUGAGAUGCGAUGAGCCACACAGGUGCCCACACAGCAAACUUCUGUUUGAAGCAGCAGUGAGCUCACCAGUCUGCAAGGAAAUGGUCAGCUGCCAAACACGGCUGUUACUGAAGGUGACAGGACAGCUGGGCAACGUGAGGAAUGAUCUGGCAUCAGACAAAGCUGCAGGGAUGCAAAUGCACAUGCCGCGGGACGGGUUUGGACGUGUCUCUGAGUACUGGCUGCAACCAGCUCCCAAGCAGGGAUGUUUCAUCCAUGAGGGUGUUAGAGACACUCAGAAAGGAAAGCAAGCAGCCUCCAGUCACAGGGGAAGCUUGGGAGGGAGCCAGGGAGCAGCCUCAGUGCCCAGGCAUGGUGCUGUGGGUGCAGGCCCAGCCUUCCCUGCCGGCUCUCCAGAAACCCCUCAGGCUCCCCUGCUUUGCCAGGGCACUUGGCUGUUGCCUGUGCUGUAGGCACGAGCAGCAUUGGCAGGAUGAGGAGCUGACUGGGGGAGCUGGUUUCUUUGAUGAAAAAAUACACAUGCAAAUACACACUGUACGGUUGUUUAAAUAAAGUGAUGCUGAAGAAGGGUGACUUGUGUCAACUGGCAGAGAUGAAUUUACAUGCUACAGCAUGUAGCCAUAUGCUUUUAGGUAAGAGGUGGCACAUUUUUUGUGUCCAGCCAUGUAUACAUAAUGGUAUCACAGGGGGAGCCGAGUUGCUGUGGAAUUUAAGGUUGUGGUUUUUUUAAUGGCGCCUAGGAAACAGGAUACUGGAAAUCCUUGAACAUUCAAUAACUUCCCAGCCAGAGCUGUUAUUUGUCCUGUAAUAGUCUGCAGAUUACUUAAGACUUUACUAUAUCCCUUGAUAACUAAGAGCUCAGUCCUUUUAGAUAUUGAGCAGUCUCUAUUCUAAAUAGGGACGGCUGAGACUUUUUGCAAAGCUUUUGUCUACCUUUGUCUGAGGCUUUGUAACAACUAAGUGGCAUCCACACUUCUAGAAUUGAGACUGGUAAAUAAUUGGCCACGAUCCCAUUUGUUCAAAGAAGAAAAGAAAAUAGCACUGCAAUCCUACAUGGGUGACAAGAUGAAGCUGUCUGUCUCAUACAAUAGCCAUAGAAACCUCAGGCUCCUGGUGUUCAACUCCCUGGCUAUGAUUUUCCACAGUGACCAAGUAAUGUAUUUAAUCCUUUUGCUACCUCUUUGUAGAGACUCGGAGCUUUACAGUGUCAGAAGGAAUCAUCACUAACUCCUGCAAGGCAUUAGAAGGCAAGAUCUCGCAAUGUGUCACUGAGGGGAAAAAAAGAACUUUUCUUUCAAAACAGUUUUUUUUUCCCUCUAAUAUAUUUUACAAGUUGAGAAAAAACAAGCUCCUUCAAAAAAGAAAAUUAAAAACUUUGAUUCUUUUGUAAUGAAUGUGAUGCUAAAGCUGACACCUCAUUUCUUUCACUUGGGGUUAGAGAAAUUUUCUUCAGAUCUUCAGGACUUUCCAGUCCUCCUGAAGGAUUUUUCUCCUGACUCCUAGUUGACUGUUAAAAAAAUAAGAAUUAUUAGAUAUUUCACAGUGCAUUAAAUUACUUGCCUCUAAAUAAGUAUUAUUUUCAUGAAAGCAGUCAUAUUGGAUACCCUUACUUCUGUGGGAUCUGGGAGCCCUAAUCAGGACCAGCCCCUUCCUGACAUGACCAGCCUGGGGACUGGAUUAUUUGGUUAAAGUGAUUAACAGUGAGAUAAUUACAUUGUGCACACAAAACAUAGCGAGGGGGUCAGAACUAAUACCCACUGACCUGAAUGUGGCAUUUCACACCUCAGUGAUAAGGUUCAACCAGCAAAGAUUGCUACUGCCCUCUUUUUGAAUAGAAAGGAUUAGCAAGAACCGGCUGUCUGUCCGUGGCUAACAGGUUACUGGGAGGUGCUAGGCAUACUACUAGUGAUGUUUGGGACUCCGUCUGGCAACAAUUCCCUUCCCCAGGUUUUGGUCUGAAAGAAAUGGCAGUUGCAGUUGCGAAUAUCAGAGCCUGUUCUCCAGCUGGAAAAUAUUGUUGUUUGCUGUAAUAUAAAGGCUACUCAACGAUUACAAUGAUGGGCACUCUAUGGAGGCCUGUAAUAAAAGCAACACACAAAAGGAGAUAUGACAUUCACAUAUUUUUGAGCCUAAGGGCUUGUCUAUACUAGAGAUAUUUUUUUUUCUGCUGUGAGAAUCUCAGUGAGAUUAGACGCACUCUUCCUGCCUAUGUCUGUAUAGCUACAUCUAAACGAGGGCUUUUACCAGCAUAACUAUGUCAGCAAAAGACCCAGCUCUUAACUCAUAUAAUUGCACUGUAAGGCUCCUUAAGUGGAGGUCAGUUUAUACAGAUUCUGCAGAUGGAUGGAAGCAAGAGAAUUGCUCCUUUCAUCAUGAUAGCGUUUUAUCUCGGGGGCCUAGUGCUGACAUUUUGAGUGUUGUUAACCUCUGCUAUUUUAGGACUACUGUGUAGGAGCGCAUCACCACUGAAUCAGGCAUUCAGAUACUUCUCUCCUGGGGAUAUGGUUCAGAAAUCUGGCUGGUAAGAUGUAAUCACCUUGGUUAAGCUUUUCCUUUGAGAACUCUUGCCCUGUUUUUCCCUGAUGAAACUCCCUCACGUGCCAGCCAUCCCAGACCCUGUUUUACAUGAGCUACAUGAUGAGGUCCCCAGUGGAUGACUCCAUGACUACUUUAAAUUAUGUAUUAAUAUGUCAUUCCCCUCCUCAUUCAAAGAUUUUAUUAUCUUGAAGCACAGCAUGUGGAAUAAAGAGGAUUCACAUCUCGCUGUAUUUAAGAGGAAAAACGUACAACCUGUUCAUCAACUCCUCUCAAGUAUCAGCAAGAUACGGACCAGAAGCAGGAAAAAAAAGCCCCAAACAACAACAUAAAAAAGUGAGCCACAGCUGAGCAGAUGGGAACCAGCUGCACACUCUCCAUUAAAGAAGAGUGCAUCUGAUAAGUAAAUGAAGAGAGGUGUGUUUAACGCAUGUUUUUGAAAGGUAUGUCAUCCUUCUGUUUGCUGAAUGGAAGGAGUGAUAUGAAUAGCGCCACGUACUGCACACAUAGCCUUGCUUUUCCCAAGAGACAGGUGGGAGGGUCAGCAAACAGUUUUGCAAAGAAAUCCCCGCUCUGCCUAUCAUUUCCGGUGCCAUCGGGCAGCUUGGAGGCCCAAAGGCAGGUAUAGUUCAUUUGAAAAUAAAGGCAAAAGGAGUGGCCGCAGGAGGGAAGAAGCUGGUAUGUAGCACAGCGCAGAGGAUGAUGUGUCUGGAACAUCAGGAGAGCUCAGGGGCAGGGGUGUGCCAUCUCUGUCCCCUUCGGGGACACAUGUUAGUUGGGGGUCAGACCCUGACCCAGAGGUCCCACUCCCUUCUGAAGGUGUUUUAAAAGAGCAUCCAGAGGUGCUCCACAUUUACAUGGAUGGAAAUCAUUCAUCUGGCUGUUGGUUCACAGUUUUUCCUGGGCAGAUAGCCAAAAAUGCAAUUGUUAAUUGCAUCAAUUUCCAUGUUCUCUCUUCUGUAAAAUCACCUUAUUAGAGGAGUUGGUUAAAUUCAGGAAGUGCUCAAAUUCCUGGCCAUAUCUUGUUUAGAAAAGACUUCUUGAUAACAGUGCUGUACUACUUCUCUCAGCUCAUGUGUCUGUAAAAGGUGUGAUUGUUUACAGAGUUACGCUGCUGCAGAUGCAAUCCUAUCAGCAUAAGAUACUUCAAACUGGUAUCACAUAUUUUAUUAGACUGAACUGUUUUUUUAUGAUAACCUGUAGCUGGUACAACUGUGUCCAUGCUACGGGAUGUUUGCUGUCUGUCAAAAUGGGAAUAUUUAGUGAAGAUGGACUUUAGCAUGCGCAUGUUUCCUCAGGAGUCACUACAGCACUCUGUCAAUAAACCUGUUUUCAGCAGUGUUUGCUGACAUGGCUAAAAAGGUAUUGCCAGAUCCUACGUCUGACUGACUGUUAUUCUGCACCUUGUGUAAUAAUUUAGAGAAGUCAGGGUGAAUGUCACCAUAAAUUACUACAUAAAUGCAAGGCAGCAGCACAGUGAAUGCUGUUAGCCUCAAAGCAGACAACUAUUAUCCACCCUACUGUAGAGAGGUCCCAGAAGGGACUGCGAGUCAUUUGCAAAAUUGCAACUGUAGUGCCAUCCUUCAGAGUUGUCCAACAGGACGUGAAGCGCACAGCACAGUUUGCUCUUGGAUGCCAGGCCAGAUUAGACCAUGCUUUAAAGGAGACCUCUUGAAGGAAAAAGAAAAUGGAAUUGUGGUUAUUUUCAGGCAUCGACCCAAAUUGCAUACAAGUUUCUACUCAGAAAUUGCAUAGAGGUUUCUAUUUGGAAAAUUACCUUUCUCCUUUUUUUUUUUUUUUCCUGUUUUUGGAGCUUCCAUUAGUUCUUAGAAGAACUGAAACUAUUCAAUCCAGAUGAGACCGUGGUGGAGGUCUUGCAGAACUGGAUUCAAAGUGCUCUCUUGCUUAACUGAAAAGUAGAAACAGCAAAUCCUGAGUCGGCUUAUUUUUCUCCACAGACAUAUGACAUUUGAAUAAACAAGUAGUAAUGCAAAAGGAGUUUUAAAUGACUUAAGAGAAUUUUUUUUCAGUGAAUCCUGUGGUGCCGUUAUAUGCUUUGUCAUCCCAUAUGGGCCAAUCCCAGGAGGCCAAAGCCGAUUUAAUGUGCAUGCACAAAUGGCUGGAGCAUGACCCUUGAGUUUAUUGUGUCCUGAACAUCUAAAGCGUUACUGAGAAGAUCUGCUGUCUGUCACAUGUACAGCAGGGUCACCCUGGGCUCCUAAACUUCAGGAAAACCAAGAAGCAGCCACAAAAAAGCAGCUUGGUGGUAGAUGAGGUUGAGUGCUCACGAAAUGGGCAACACUGGUAGAUUCACUGUAGCUCCUGGGACAAAGAUACUGUCCAACAGGCUUCCAAAAAAAGUAAAAAUCAAUUUCUAUAAAAUGACUGUGAUCAAGAGAACUGUAAGGGGAAAACAAAAAUAUUUGCAUAUACUCUUUAAUCUAGAUUAUAUCAUCCAGAGCAAUGUAAAGCACAAAUCAAAUAUGUUCUUCGUGUUGCUAGCAGAGUUGGGAACCUACUACACUGUAACAGUGCCUCCAUGGGUGGAUUUACGGUGUAAGAUCAGCUCCUAACCAAACAGCUUGCAUCUGUCCUUCAAGGAAAGGGAGACAGACAAAGAGAAAGGCUGUAAUUUAAAGAACUUGAACACUUUCUUCCUUCUGUUCCUGGUCUGUUCCAGCCAGUACAACUCUCAUGAAUGCAAAAUGAAGCCAGUAAAAAGCGGAACAGAACUGUUAUGUUCUGGGAAAAGGUAAAUCCUGUUACUGCUCACAAAUGCAAUUCAACUGCCAAACCUUGGGGAAUUUAAUUCUUCCAUUAACCCAGUCACCCUCCCAGAGAUACACGUAGCCUUUCCUUCCAGACAGUCUGCUCUCCUCUCUCCCAGCUACAGGAGCUCUGGGCUGGUACGAUAACUCUAGGGCAGGAAGCAAUGUUCACACCUGGUUUAUUUAACGUAGCCAUUCCUGAGAAGCUGAUAACAAUAUUUUCAUGGUGAAUGAUUUGCAUUUCUGAAUCCAUAGCACAGUGCCAGACCCAGCUGCUUGGAGACGUUCAUUUGCGAUAAUCAAAUAUUUAGCAGCUGUUGCUCUAACAAACACCACAUUAGGCCACAUCUUACAAAGCGGGGCUUCUUCCUCUGUUAGCCACUGCUGCGCAAGUGGAACUUCAAAGGACAGCCCCCACUGCAGGAAGCACCCAGGUUUUACCCACGGGUGUCUGCGAGGAAGGGCUGACGGUCUGGUACCUGCAAACACCAGGAAGAGUAGAAGAGCUGUUUGUUUAAGUGAGACUAGUGCUUUAUGAACGUUUUAAUGGUUCACUGUGUAAUUGGAAUGAGUAGGUUGGUAUUUUUAACUGUUAAACAUUCACCAGCUUCGAUUAAAUAAUUGAUGGUUUCUAUACAAAUUUUCUAGGCCUAUGGUUCGUCGUGGAGGGCAUUUGCUGGACUAGACUAGCUCUCCAGGACUUGUAUUUCUUUUGUGUUUCUUUUCCUAUGCAAACCCAGCUGUUGCAAGAAAUAAAUGAAUC
Phalacrocorax carbo (great cormorant) is the source of this 7710-nucleotide non-coding RNA. The record is from RefSeq and is a predicted model, not a curated record. NCBI's taxonomy places the organism in Eukaryota, Metazoa, Chordata, Aves, Suliformes, Phalacrocoracidae.